UACGUAGGGUGCAAGCGUUAAUCGGAAUUACUGGGCGUAAAGCGUGCGCAGGCGGUGAUGUAAGACAGUUGUGAAAUCCCCGGGCUCAACCUGGGAACUGCAUCUGUGACUGUAUAGCUAGAGUACGGUAGAGGGGGAUGGAAUUCCGCGUGUAGCAGUGAAAUGCGUAGAUAUCGAGAGGAACACCAGAGGUGAAGACGGGUUGCUGGGCCGACACUGACGCUGACAGCGCGAAAGCCAGGGGAGCAAACGGG
Molecule: ribosomal RNA, 254 nt
Filed under: uncultured bacterium
Lineage: Bacteria
Description: partial 16S ribosomal RNA
Rfam family: Bacterial small subunit ribosomal RNA
Source: RNAcentral